AAAAAAAAAAAAAAACAAAAACCCCAACCAGCAGCAGAAAAUUCAUGUUGUGUUAUCAUAUAUUUGAAUUCUGAAAUCCCUAGGCACUACCAUCAGAACAUCAAAGGAAAGGGACAAAGGGAGUCAAGUGAGCUGGAAUCUAACAACCUAUUUUGAAUAUAACCCAGUUAUUUCAUGAAAGAGACUUGAUACUCUUCGUUUAUGACUUGGCUUGCAGUUUUU
RNAcentral lists this unclassified non-coding RNA (222 nucleotides) under Hevea brasiliensis (rubber tree). The record is from RNAcentral. Lineage: Eukaryota; Viridiplantae; Streptophyta; Magnoliopsida; Malpighiales; Euphorbiaceae.